Molecule: ribosomal RNA, 235 nt
Filed under: uncultured bacterium
Lineage: Bacteria
Description: partial 16S ribosomal RNA
Rfam family: Bacterial small subunit ribosomal RNA
Source: RNAcentral
CGAACGGGUGGGUAACGCGUGAAUAACCUGACUCAAAGAGGGGGAUAACAACGGGAAACUGUUGCUAAUACCGCAUGAGACCACAACACCGCAUGAUGAAGGGGUCAAAGAUUUAUCGCUUUGAGAGGGGUUCGCGUCCCAUUAGGUAGUUGGAGGGGUAACGGCCCACCAAGCCAACGAUGGGUAGCCGAGCUGAGAGGCUGAUCGGCCACACUGGAACUGAGACACGGUCCAG